This is a long non-coding RNA of Hyla sarda, 255 nucleotides long. RefSeq lists it as uncharacterized. The record is from RefSeq and is a predicted model, not a curated record. The transcript is spliced from 3 exons. NCBI's taxonomy places the organism in Eukaryota, Metazoa, Chordata, Amphibia, Anura, Hylidae.
CAACAACAAUGUCAUAUCCUCCAUUGCUGCUCUGUUCCAGAAGUGGCGAAUAUCAGGGUCCACAUGGAAUACAAUGGAGUACACAAUGGAUUACAAAUUAGCGUGAUACAGGAAUAGCAGAGAUUACGCGAUGUAGAAGAGCUGACGUUACCAUUACAAACAACUACUCCAGGGUUUCCUAUGAAAAGAUACACACAUCCCAGAUAUAAAACAAAGUGAUGAAGACCAUAAAAUUGACCCUUUGCAAAACUUCCA